UACGGAGGGUGCAAGCGUUAUCCGGAUUCACUGGGUUUAAAGGGUGCGUAGGAGGGCAGGUAAGUCAGUGGUGAAAUCCCCGAGCUUAACUUGGGAACUGCCGUUGAUACUAUCUGUCCUGAAUAUUGUGGAGGUGAGCGGAAUAUGUCAUGUAGCGGUGAAAUGCUUAGAUAUGACAUAGAACACCAAUUGCGAAGGCAGCUCGCUACACAUAUAUUGACUCUGAGGCACGAAAGCGUGGGGAUCAAACAGG
This 253-nucleotide ribosomal RNA is filed under the name uncultured bacterium. Its description in RNAcentral is "partial 16S ribosomal RNA". It matches the Rfam family "Bacterial small subunit ribosomal RNA", at positions 524 to 776 of the family's 1533-position model. The record is from RNAcentral.